AUGAACCUACGAUGCUCGUCAGCUCAUGAUGUCUUAAACCUAUAAUGUUUUAAAGGGAAUUUAAUAAUCGUUUCUAGACAAUAAGCCCUCCACUACGAAGGGACAUUGAAAGGUUACGUGAAAAUGCCCACCUGCGAGAGCGGGUUUUAAGACACUUCGAGUAACGACAAAGUGGGAUUCAA
Molecule: non-coding RNA, 182 nt
Filed under: Evansella cellulosilytica DSM 2522
Lineage: Bacteria; Bacillati; Bacillota; Bacilli; Caryophanales; Bacillaceae
Description: Bacillus cellulosilyticus DSM 2522 6S / SsrS RNA
Rfam family: 6S / SsrS RNA
About the family: E. coli 6S RNA was the first non coding RNA to be sequenced, but its function was unknown until recently.
Source: Rfam by way of RNAcentral